RNAcentral lists this ribosomal RNA (119 nucleotides) under Esox lucius (northern pike). The record is from RNAcentral. Lineage: Eukaryota; Metazoa; Chordata; Actinopteri; Esociformes; Esocidae.
GCUUACGGCCACACCUACCUCAGCACGCCCGAUCUCGUCUGAUCUCGGAAGCUAAGCAGGGUCUGGCCCGGUUAGUACUUGGAUGGGAGACCGCCUGGGAAUACCAGGUGCUGUAAGCC